RNAcentral lists this ribosomal RNA (140 nucleotides) under uncultured bacterium. Its description in RNAcentral is "partial 16S ribosomal RNA". It matches the Rfam family "Bacterial small subunit ribosomal RNA", at positions 355 to 509 of the family's 1533-position model. The record is from RNAcentral.
UGGGGGAUAUUGGACAAUGGGGGGAACCCUGAUCCAGCGACGCCGCGUGAGUGAAGAAGUAUCUCGGUAUGUAAAGCUCUAUCAGCAGGGAAGAAAGAAAUGACGGUACCUGAGUAAGAAGCCCCGGCUAACUACGUGCC